This 253-nucleotide ribosomal RNA is filed under the name uncultured bacterium. RNAcentral's name for it is "partial 16S ribosomal RNA". It matches the Rfam family "Bacterial small subunit ribosomal RNA", at positions 524 to 776 of the family's 1533-position model. The record is from RNAcentral.
UAUGGAGGGGACUAGCGUUGUUCGGAAUUACUGGGCGUAAAGCGCACGUAGGCGGAUUUGUAAGUCAGGGGUGAAAUCCCGGGGCUCAACCCCGGAACUGCCUUUGAUACUGCGAAUCUCGAGUCCGGAAGAGGUGAGUGGAAUUCCUAGUGUAGAGGUGAAAUUCGUAGAUAUUAGGAAGAACACCAGUGGCGAAGGCGGCUCACUGGUCCGGUACUGACGCUGAGGUGCGAAAGCGUGGGGAGCAAACAGG